CCUACGGGAGGCAGCAGUAGGGAAUAUUGCUCAAUGGGGGAAACCCUGCAGCAGCAACGCCGCGUGGAGGAUGAAGGUUUUCGGAUUGUAAACUCCUUUUGUUAGAGAAGAUAAUGACGGUAUCUAACGAAUAAGCACCGGCUAACUCCGUUCCAGCAGCCGCGGUAAUACGGAGGGUGCAAGCGUUACCCGGAAUCACUGGGCGUAAAGAGCGCGUAGACGGGAUAGCAAGUCAGAUGUGAAAUCCUAUGGCUUAACCAUAGAACUGCAUUUGAAACUGUUAGUCUGGAGUAUGGGAGAGGUAGGUGGAAUUCUUGGUGUAGGGGUAAAAUCCGUAGAGAUCAAGAGGAAUACUCAUGGCGAAGGCGACCUGCUAGAACAUAACUGACGCUGAUGCGCGAAAGCGUGGGGAGCAAACAGGAUUAGAUACCCGAGUAGUC
Molecule: ribosomal RNA, 440 nt
Filed under: uncultured bacterium
Lineage: Bacteria
Description: partial 16S ribosomal RNA
Rfam family: Bacterial small subunit ribosomal RNA
Source: RNAcentral